AUGGGAACGCGAAGAACCUUACCUACUCUUGACAUCCAGAGAACUUUCCAGAGAUGGAUUGGUGCCUUCGGGAACGUCUGAGACAGGUGCUGCAUGGCUGUCGUCAGCUCGUGUUGUGAAUGUUGGGUUAAGUCCGCAACGAGCGCAACCCGUUAUCCUUUGUUGCCAGCGGUUAGGCCGGAACUCAAAGGAGACUGCCAGUGAUAACUGGAGAAGGUGGGAUGACGUCAAGUCAUCAUGGCCCUUACGAGUAGGGCUACACACGUGCUACAAUGGCGCAUACAAAGAGAAGCGACCUCGCGAGAGCAAGCGGACCUCAUAAAGUGCGUCGUAGUCCGGAUUGGAGUCUGCAACUCGACUCCAUGAAGUCGGAAUCGCUAGUAAUCGUAGAUCAGAAUGCUACGGUGAAUACG
Molecule: ribosomal RNA, 413 nt
Filed under: uncultured bacterium
Lineage: Bacteria
Description: bacterial SSU rRNA
Rfam family: Bacterial small subunit ribosomal RNA
Source: RNAcentral